AAAUUGAAGAGUUUGAUCAUGGCUCAGAUUGAACGCUGGCGGCAGGCCUAACACAUGCAAGUCGAACGGUAACAGGAAGAAGCUUGCUUCUUUGCUGACGAGUGGCGGACGGGUGAGUAAUGUCUGGGAAACUGCCUGAUGGAGGGGGAUAACUACUGGAAACGGUAGCUAAUACCGCAUAAUGUCGCAAGACCAAAGAGGGGGACCUUCGGGCCUCUUGCCAUCGGAUGUGCCCAGAUGGGAUUAGCUUGUUGGUGGGGUAACGGCUCACCAAGGCGACGAUCCCUAGCUGGUCUGAGAGGAUGACCAGCCACACUGGAACUGAGACACGGUCCAGACUCCUACGGGAGGCAGCAGUGGGGAAUAUUGCACAAUGGGCGCAAGCCUGAUGCAGCCAUGCCGCGUGUAUGAAGAAGGCCUUCGGGUUGUAAAGUACUUUCAGCGGGGAGGAAGGGAGUAAAGUUAAUACCUUUACUCAUUGACGUUACCCGCAGAAGAAGCACCGGCUAACUCCGUGCCAGCAGCCGCGGUAAUACGGAGGGUGCAAGCGUUAAUCGGAAUUACUGGGCGUAAAGCGCACGCAGGCGGUUUGUUAAGUCAGAUGUGAAAUCCCCGGGCUCAACCUGGGAACUGCAUCUGAUACUGGCAAGCUUGAGUCUCGUAGAGGGGGGUAGAAUUCCAGGUGUAGCGGUGAAAUGCGUAGAGAUCUGGAGGAAUACCGGUGGCGAAGGCGGCCCCCUGGACGAAGACUGACGCUCAGGUGCGAAAGCGUGGGGAGCAAACAGGAUUAGAUACCCUGGUAGUCCACGCCGUAAACGAUGUCGACUUGGAGGUUGUGCCCUUGAGGCGUGGCUUCCGGAGCUAACGCGUUAAGUCGACCGCCUGGGGAGUACGGCCGCAAGGUUAAAACUCAAAUGAAUUGACGGGGGCCCGCACAAGCGGUGGAGCAUGUGGUUUAAUUCGAUGCAACGCGAAGAACCUUACCUGGUCUUGACAUCCACGGAAGUUUUCAGAGAUGAGAAUGUGCCUUCGGGAACCGUGAGACAGGUGCUGCAUGGCUGUCGUCAGCUCGUGUUGUGAAAUGUUGGGUUAAGUCCCGCAACGAGCGCAACCCUUAUCCUUUGUUGCCAGCGGUCCGGCCGGGAACUCAAAGGAGACUGCCAGUGAUAAACUGGAGGAAGGUGGGGAUGACGUCAAGUCAUCAUGGCCCUUACGACCAGGGCUACACACGUGCUACAAUGGCGCAUACAAAGAGAAGCGACCUCGCGAGAGCAAGCGGACCUCAUAAAGUGCGUCGUAGUCCGGAUUGGAGUCUGCAACUCGACUCCAUGAAGUCGGAAUCGCUAGUAAUCGUGGAUCAGAAUGCCACGGUGAAUACGUUCCCGGGCCUUGUACACACCGCCCGUCACACCAUGGGAGUGGGUUGCAAAAGAAGUAGGUAGCUUAACCUUCGGGAGGGCGCUUACCACUUUGUGAUUCAUGACUGGGGUGAAGUCGUAACAAGGUAACCGUAGGGGAACCUGCGGUUGGAUCACCUCCUUA
Molecule: ribosomal RNA, 1542 nt
Filed under: Escherichia coli
Lineage: Bacteria; Pseudomonadati; Pseudomonadota; Gammaproteobacteria; Enterobacterales; Enterobacteriaceae
Description: bacterial SSU rRNA
Rfam family: Bacterial small subunit ribosomal RNA
Source: RNAcentral